GAAUUCACUAGUGAUUUACCUGAUAGCGGCCGCAGAGUUUGAUCCUGGCUCAGGAAAGUCGAAAACAAGGUAGCCCGUAGCGGCCCGCCGAUCCUAAAAUAAAAAUCCCCCGCGCCCCAUGGGGGGGCCAAAAACAUACCCAAACGCCCUAAAUCGGGGACACCCUGCGGGGAAAAAACCCUUUUCUACUUCCUAUUGGAGUCCUAUUCAAACCAAAUUUCAUCACUACUCAUACUAACUUUUCCACCUACCAAUCCUAAUCUGGCAAACUCCGUACCUCACAAUCACAAUAAAUAAUAACAUAGCACCAAUAAAACAACCCAUCCCUUUCCUUAAUAACUUCCAGACCCAUUAUUAACAUCUUUAUCGCCACAUGAUAACCUCAUACCUAACCAAUCUAUAUCAUAACACACAAUUAUUCCGCAUAACACACGAUACUAAACUUUAAUAACAUAUCCUACCUAACUCACCCAUAUAUUAUCACCAACCUGUCCAUCUACCAUUCAUAAAAACGCAAUAAAUAAAUUUCUAAAUAACCCUCUUACUAUUACUGUC
This 555-nucleotide ribosomal RNA is filed under the name uncultured Streptomyces sp. Its description in RNAcentral is "partial 16S ribosomal RNA". Lineage: Bacteria; Bacillati; Actinomycetota; Actinomycetes; Kitasatosporales; Streptomycetaceae. The record is from RNAcentral.